Molecule: long non-coding RNA, 217 nt
Filed under: Mytilus galloprovincialis (Mediterranean mussel)
Lineage: Eukaryota; Metazoa; Mollusca; Bivalvia; Mytilida; Mytilidae
Source: RNAcentral
GAGUGGUACGAGUUUACAUGGUUACUUUUUUUAAUUUUUACCCAAUAAUAUGAUGAUGUGAUAUACAGUAGCGUGAUAUAUCACACAUCACUGAUAAGCUAAAUUUACCUAUCUAAUAUAUACAGGGGUUUUUGGACUUUUUUUUUCUUCCUGUUUGAGCUAUUAUUGACAUCAAAUCAAAACAUGCACAUGUAACCUCCUGCGGAAAGUCAAUAUG